RNAcentral lists this long non-coding RNA (703 nucleotides) under Setaria italica (foxtail millet). RNAcentral's name for it is "long non-coding RNA (SITA_LNC004836)". The record is from RNAcentral. Lineage: Eukaryota; Viridiplantae; Streptophyta; Magnoliopsida; Poales; Poaceae.
GGUAAUGCAUAUGCAGCAAGGACUAAAAGCUUCAUAUGCCGACCUGUUUCAGAUGUUGAUCGAGAAAUGUGCGAUCAGACUCGAGAUGGUUUAUGAUUUUGGCGAGACGUCUGUUUGUGCAGGUUGAGUACCUGGUCGAGGAAUGCAGCUCAGAGAACCGGGCCAAGAACGACUGCGUCCAUGUUCAGGUGGCCAAGCAGAUCCUGCCGCGGGGAGGCGACAUCGUGUUCGGCGUCGCGCACCUGCAUUCGGGUGGCAUCGCCGCUUCUCUGCACGGCGAGGUAGCUGCCACCACGAAUUCGAUCGAUCUCUUUGCAUUUCUCUGCUGCAGAGCUCAGUAUUUAUCAUCGUCUGAAACUUUGCACAAUCCAAGUAGCAAGUAACGAACAAUGGAUCUGAAACAGUUAGUUGCUAGCCUGGAUGCUGAUGAACUGCAUGCACUGGACUCUGUCACGCAGGACGGCCGGCUGCUGUGCGAAUCGACGGCAACCUACGGCGAUGGCCAGGAGGCCGGGAACGAGGCGGACUACAUCGUCGGCAUGUCGACGUGCUACCCGAAGCCGGGCGCCGUGACGGUGCGCGACGGCGAGGUCCUGACCGUGGUGUCCAAAUACAGCAGCCACCAGCAGCACACCGGAGUGAUGGGCCUCGUCUACAUCCUCGUCGCCGAGCACGGGCAGCCGCAGCCGCAGCAGCUGCCGGC